UACGUAGGGGGCAAGCGUUGUCCGGAUUUAUUGGGCGUAAAGAGCGUGUAGGCGGCCUUACAGGUCAGCUGUGAAAACUCGAGGCUCAACCUCGAGACGUCGGUUGAAACCGUAAGGCUAGAGUCCGGAAGAGGAGAGUGGAAUUCCCGGUGUAGCGGUGAAAUGCGCAGAUAUCGGGAAGAACACCCGUGGCGAAAGCGGCUCUCUGGGACGGUACUGACGCUGAGACGCGAAAGCGUGGGGAGCAAACAGG
RNAcentral lists this ribosomal RNA (253 nucleotides) under uncultured bacterium. Its description in RNAcentral is "partial 16S ribosomal RNA". It matches the Rfam family "Bacterial small subunit ribosomal RNA", at positions 524 to 776 of the family's 1533-position model. The record is from RNAcentral.